UCUUUCUUGCAGAUCUUCGAUGAGUCCAGGAUUUCAUUUAAAGUUAUAAUUUACUUUAACAAAUAACUACAACAACCAGAGCUAUAGCCCUCCAGACAAAAAGGACUCGUUGCUACUAUCCUACUCUCUACACAUCCUUUUAAACAACAUGAAAUUUAUUUUCCUCUACAUUUAAAAAGAACGAGUGAGUAUAAAAAAUCAAUUUUCACAUUUUCAUGAGAUUUAUAUACAAAAAAAGCUACAGAAAAUAUAUAAAAAUUGUUUCAACAAAAAAAAAAAAAAAAUCAUACAACAAAACAAUCAACAAACAAAUACACAAGUAAAUCAUGCGUUGUUAAAAGGAGUGAGUGUGUGUGUUUGUAGGUAUUUUUUUAUAUAAAGGACUAUGAAUCUGUUGUUAAAACCAACCAUAAUUUAUAGAAAAAUAGCUUGUUUAACAUGUUACAUAAAACCAAAAUAAAAUAUAAAAUAAAACCUAUUGAAAUCACAAUUCUCUCUCUUACUUACACAAACAAAUAAAUCCUUUUUCCUAGCAACUGUUCGCAUGUGUGUGCGUGUGUGUUCAUCUAUGUUAAUGGAAAAAAAUGUAGGGAACCAGGAUUCAUUUAUACGCAUAAAUCACUAGUUAAAUAUUAAAAAAAAUAUAUACGUAAGGAACCUACAAUCGUGUUUGAGAUUUACCCAAAAAAAAAAAGUAAAAGAAAAAUACAAUAUAAUAAUACACGAACAUAAAAAUCUCUAUAACGUUUUAGGACUAUCAUUUCCCAGUGUCAUCAUUCUUGUUGUAUAAGUACCAACAAUAAAACAAGCUUAAAUAUACACACAUACAAUUCUACAAAUAUACAUUUACCCAAAAAUAUAUAAACACUUACAUAUUUAUCAAAACAUACUUACAGUUACAGGGAUUGAGAAAAAUUAAGGGGAAAUACUUCCUUACAAAGGAGCUGAAAAUUUAAGGAAAUUUUGUUGAACAAAAGCUCUGCUAAGUUUUAGUUUAAUUUAAAAUUAAGGCAAAAGUAGUCUAAUCGAAAAGGUAGAAAUUUAAUUAAAUUUAUUUCACGAAAGCUCUGCUAAGUUUUAAUUUAAACUUCAAACUAAACUCAACGCUUAAUAUUUGAUCUACUUUAAAACUUUUUAUAAAAAUUUUAUU
Molecule: long non-coding RNA, 1150 nt
Organism: Lucilia sericata (common green bottle fly)
Lineage: Eukaryota; Metazoa; Arthropoda; Insecta; Diptera; Calliphoridae
Exons: 3
Source: RefSeq, a predicted model, not a curated record